This 391-nucleotide unclassified non-coding RNA is filed under the name fungal sp. RNAcentral's name for it is "partial internal transcribed spacer region". The stretch from base 1 to 46 matches the Rfam family "Eukaryotic small subunit ribosomal RNA", at positions 1786 to 1831 of the family's 1831-position model. Lineage: Eukaryota; Fungi. The record is from RNAcentral.
AAGUCGUAACAAGGUUUCCGUAGGUGAACCUGCGGAAGGAUCAUUAACACGUAUCCAACGUAUCCACCCCCCGUGAACUGUUUUCUUCUCCCCUGUCUUCGGCACAGUGCGGAGGUGCGCGAGAUCUUGUCUGGACUGCGACGCGCAAGCGGAGCGGUGAGCUCGCGGACCCACUUGCAAGGCGAAAGCCGAGCAGACUGCACGCCCCCGUCGACAGGUUUCGCCCGCUCAGCUCCCAACAAAGCCGGGUGAGCGAUACUCUAUUUACCAUAUUCACCCUUUUUUGCUAGUUGGCCUUAUUUAUGUUCUUCAUCAUGCGCAAGCAUGUGUUGACACGUUUAUUAAUUGAAUGUUAAAUAUACAACUCUUAGCAAUGGAUAUCUUGGUUCUC